GAUUAACGCUGGCGGCGUGCCUAACACAUGCAAGUCGAACGAGGUAGCAAUACCUAGUGGCAGACGGGUGAGUAACGCGUGGUCAACCUACCGUUGAGUGGGGGAUAACUAGCCGAAAGGUUAGCUAAUACCGCAUACGUCUCCGAGGGGCAUCCCUUGGCGAUAAAAGGAGCAAUCCGCUCGAUGACGGGACCGCGUCCCAUUAGCUAGAUGGUGGGGUAACGCCUACCAUGGCACCGAGGGUAGCUGGUUUGAGAGAGCGACCAGCCACACUGGGACUGAGAAACGGCCCAGACUCCUACGGGAGGCAGCAGUGAGGAAUUUUCCGCAAUGGGCGCAAGCCUGACGGAGCGACGCCGCGUGU
RNAcentral lists this ribosomal RNA (364 nucleotides) under uncultured bacterium. RNAcentral's name for it is "bacterial SSU rRNA". It matches the Rfam family "Bacterial small subunit ribosomal RNA", at positions 28 to 404 of the family's 1533-position model. The record is from RNAcentral.